This 253-nucleotide ribosomal RNA is filed under the name uncultured bacterium. Its description in RNAcentral is "partial 16S ribosomal RNA". It matches the Rfam family "Bacterial small subunit ribosomal RNA", at positions 524 to 776 of the family's 1533-position model. The record is from RNAcentral.
UACGUAGGGUGCAAGCGUUGUCCGGAAUUAUUGGGCGUAAAGAGCUCGUAGGCGGUCUGUCGCGUCUGCUGUGAAAAUCCAGGGCUCAACCCUGGACCUGCAGUGGGUACGGGCAGACUAGAGUGCGGUAGGGGAGAGCGGAAUUCCUGGUGUAGCGGUGAAAUGCGCAGAUAUCAGGAGGAACACCGGUGGCGAAGGCGGAGCUCUGGGCCGUAACUGACGCUGAGGCACGAAAGCGUGGGUAGCAAACAGG